RNAcentral lists this ribosomal RNA (425 nucleotides) under uncultured bacterium. RNAcentral describes it as "bacterial SSU rRNA". It matches the Rfam family "Bacterial small subunit ribosomal RNA", at positions 355 to 776 of the family's 1533-position model. The record is from RNAcentral.
UAAGGAAUAUUGGUCAAUGGACGCAAGUCCGAACCAGCCAUGCCGCGUGCAGGAAGACGGCCCUACGGGUUGUAAACUGCUUUUGUACGGGAAAAAACCUUCGGUCGUGAACCGAAGCUGAUGGUACCGUAAGAAUAAGCAUCGGCUAACUCCGUGCCAGCAGCCGCGGUAAUACGGAGGAUGCAAGCGUUAUCCGGAUUCAUUGGGUUUAAAGGGUGCGCAGGCGGAAUGAUAAGUCAGUGGUGAAAUCCUAGAGCUUAACUCUAGAACUGCCAUUGAUACUGUCGUUCUUGAGUACACUUGAAGUGGGCGGAAUGUGUCAUGUAGCGGUGAAAUGCUUAGAUAUGACAAGGAACACCGAUCGCGAAGGCAGCUCACUAAAGUGCAACUGACGCUCAGGCACGAGAGCGUGGGGAUCAAACAGG